ACAGAUCAAGAUCUGGUCAGUUCUGACUUUGUCGAAUUAAACCAGGAGCUUGGAAAUGAAUUUUUGAAUGAAACCAGUUGGGGGAUAUUUGGUUUAUACCAUGGUGAUAACCGAGAGAGGCAAUUGCUAAGUUGUGAUGCACUCAUACCUUUACUAGAUGCGAACAAUUCCGGAGAAGAAGAAGAAGUGGAAUCGGAUGAGAAGAUUAUUUAUAUUGUUGGAAUUCUUAUAUUGAUGGAGUUGAAGAAGUACAGGGACAAAUAAGCCAAG
Molecule: long non-coding RNA, 270 nt
Organism: Lolium perenne
Lineage: Eukaryota; Viridiplantae; Streptophyta; Magnoliopsida; Poales; Poaceae
Source: RefSeq, a predicted model, not a curated record